This 447-nucleotide ribosomal RNA is filed under the name uncultured bacterium. Its description in RNAcentral is "bacterial SSU rRNA". It matches the Rfam family "Bacterial small subunit ribosomal RNA", at positions 355 to 825 of the family's 1533-position model. The record is from RNAcentral.
UGGGGAAUAUUGGACAAUGGGCGAAAGCCUGAUCCAGCCAUGCCGCGUGAGUGAUGAAGGCCUUAGGAUUGUAAAGCUCUUUCACCGGAGAAGAUAAUGACGGUAUCCGGAGAAGAAGCCCCGGCUAACUUCGUGCCAGCAGCCGCGGUAAUACGAAGGGGGCUAGCGUUGUUCGGAAUUACUGGGCGUAAAGCGCACGUAGGCGGAUAUUUAAGUCAGGGGUGAAAUCCCAGAGCUCAACUCUGGAACUGCCUUUGAUACUGGGUAUCUAGAGUAUGGAAGAGGUGAGUGGAAUUCCGAGUGUAGAGGUGAAAUUCGUAGAUAUUCGGAGGAACACCAGUGGCGAAGGCGGCUCACUGGUCCAUUACUGACGCUGAGGUGCGAAAGCGUGGGGAGCAAACAGGAUUAGAUACCCUCGUAGUCCCUGAGCGGGCUGGCAAGGCGCAU